GACGAACGCUGGCGGCGUGCCUAAUGCAUGCAAGUAGAACGCUGAAGGAGGAGCUUGCCUCUCUGGAUGAGUUGCGAACGGGUGAGUAACGCGUAGGUAACCUGCCUGGUAGCGGGGGAUAACUAUUGGAAACGAUAGCUAAUACCGCAUAAUAGUAGAUGUUGCAUGACAUUUGCUUAAAAGGUGCAAUUGCAUCACUACCAGAUGGACCUGCGUUGUAUUAGCUAGUUGGUGAGGUAACGGCUCACCAAGGCAACGAUACAUAGCCGACCUGAGAGGGUGAUCGGCCACACUGGGACUGAGACACGGCCCAGACUCCUACGGGAGGCAGCAGUAGGGAAUCUUCGGCAAUGGACGGAAGUCUGACCGAGCAACGCCGCGUGAGUGAAGAAGGUUUUCGGAUCGUAAAGCUCUGUUGUAAGAGAAGAACGAGUGUGAGAGUGGAAAGUUCACACUGUGACGGUAUCUUACCAGAAAGGGACGGCUAACUACGU
RNAcentral lists this ribosomal RNA (494 nucleotides) under uncultured bacterium. RNAcentral's name for it is "partial 16S ribosomal RNA". It matches the Rfam family "Bacterial small subunit ribosomal RNA", at positions 28 to 506 of the family's 1533-position model. The record is from RNAcentral.